UCAGGUAUACAUGUGGAUCAGGUCUACAUGAGGAUCAGGUCUAUAAUCAGGUCUAUAAUCAGGUCUACAUGUGGAUCAGGUCUAUAAUCAGGUCUUUAAUCAGGUCUACAUGUGGAUCAGGUCAACAUGUAGGAUCAGGUCAACAUGUAGGAUCAGGUCAACAUGUAGGAUCAGGUCUAUAAUCAGGUCUAUAAUCAGGUCUUUAAUCAGGUCUUUAAUCAGGUCUUUAAUCAGGUCUAUAAUCAGGUCUUUAAUCAGGUCUAUAAUCAGGUCUUUAAUCAGGUCUACAUGUGGAUCAGGUCUAUAAUCAGGUCUUUAAUCAGGUCUACAUGUGGAUCAGGUCAACAUGUAGGAUCAGGUCUAUAAUCAGGUCUAUAAUCAGGUCUAUAAUCAGGUCUAUAAUCAGGUCUUUAAUCAGGUCUACAUGUGGAUCAGGUCAACAUGUAGGAUCAGGUCUAUAAUCAGGUCUAUAAUCAGGUCUAUAAUCAGGUCUAUAAUCAGGUCUUUAAUCAGGUCUACAUGUGGAUCAGGUCAACAUGUAGGAUCAGGUCUAUAAUCAGGUCUUUAAUCAGGUCUUUAUGUGUAUCAGGUCUACAUGAGGAUCAGGUCUAUAAUCAGGUCUAUAAUCAGGUCUACAUGUGGAUCAGGUCUAUAAUCAGGUCUUUAAUCAGGUCUACAUGUGGAUCAGGUCAACAUGUAGGAUCAGGUCUAUAAUCAGGUCUUUAAUCAGGUCUACAUGUGGAUCAGGUCUAUAAUCAGGUCUUUAAUCAGGUCUACAUGUGGAUCAGGUCUAUAAUCAGGUCUUUAAUCAGGUCUACAUGUGGAUCAGGUCAACAUGUAGGAUCAGGUCUAUAAUCAGGUCUAUAAUCAGGUCUAUAAUCAGGUCUUUAAUCAGGUCUAUAAUCAGGUCUUUAAUCAGGUCUACAUGUGGAUCAGGUCAACAUGUAGGAUCAGGUCUAUAAUCAGGUCUAUAAUCAGGUCUAUAAUCAGGUCUUUAAUCAGGUCUUUAAUCAGGUCUUUAAUCAGGUCUACAUGUGGAUCAGGUCUAUAAUCAGGUCUAUAAUCAGGUCUAUAAUCAGGUCUUUAAUCAGGUCUACAUGUGGAUCAGGUCUAUAAUCAGGUCUUUAAUCAGGUCUACAUGUGGAUCAGUGGCUCAGAGAAAGUCUGUUGUCAUGGGAACAGUAUUGUAAAUGUAAAGAGGGAAGCAGUGCUCAGUGCUGCCUCUGGUGUCUGGGAGCUGAA
Molecule: long non-coding RNA, 1242 nt
Organism: Hippoglossus stenolepis (Pacific halibut)
Lineage: Eukaryota; Metazoa; Chordata; Actinopteri; Pleuronectiformes; Pleuronectidae
Exons: 3
Source: RefSeq, a predicted model, not a curated record